UACGAAGGGGGCUAGCGUUGCUCGGAAUCACUGGGCGUAAAGCGCACGUAGGCGGACUCUUAAGUCGGUGGUGAAAUCCUGGAGCUCAACUCCAGAACUGCCUUUGAUACUGGUGAGCUUGAGUCCGGAAGAGGUGAGUGGAACUGCGAGUGUAGAGGUGAAAUUCGUAGAUAUUCGCAAGAACACCAGUGGCGAAGGCGGCUCACUGGUCCGGUACUGACGCUGAGGUGCGAAAGCGUGGGGAGCAAACAGG
This 253-nucleotide ribosomal RNA is filed under the name uncultured bacterium. Its description in RNAcentral is "partial 16S ribosomal RNA". It matches the Rfam family "Bacterial small subunit ribosomal RNA", at positions 524 to 776 of the family's 1533-position model. The record is from RNAcentral.